CCUACGGGGUGCACCAGGCGCGAAAACUUUACCAUGCGGGCAACCGUGAUAAGGAAACCCCGAGUGCCAGCACAGGCUGGCUGUCCGCCAGUUUAAACAACUGGCGAAGAAAGGGCCGGGCAAGACCGGUGCCAGCCGCCGCGGUAAA
Molecule: ribosomal RNA, 148 nt
Filed under: uncultured archaeon
Lineage: Archaea
Description: partial 16S ribosomal RNA
Rfam family: Archaeal small subunit ribosomal RNA
Source: RNAcentral